UAGGAGGACCCGCUGGCGCACCCCAGGUCUGUAGAGCAGAUGAUGGGGAAGAAGAGACUUUCAGAAAAGGAGGAGGGACCGGGCAGGAGUCCCAGAGCUGAGCCGUGCUGAUACCCCGGAACCAGGACGGGCAGACACUUCGAGGUCAUCCUGGGGAGUUUGGAGUGGGGUGGAGAAGCCGGUGGAAGUUACGGUACUGGAAGAUGCAUCAGGCCCUGGUUCGUCCUCCGCCCUGUCCUCUUGGCAGCCAACCUCGCGACCUCCUGCCUCCUGCUCGGUCUCCUCUGCCUCCCCUG
This is a long non-coding RNA of Balaenoptera musculus (blue whale), 296 nucleotides long. RefSeq lists it as uncharacterized. NCBI's taxonomy places the organism in Eukaryota, Metazoa, Chordata, Mammalia, Artiodactyla, Balaenopteridae. The transcript is spliced from 3 exons. The record is from RefSeq and is a predicted model, not a curated record.